This 268-nucleotide long non-coding RNA is filed under the name Olea europaea (common olive). RNAcentral describes it as "long non-coding RNA (OEUR_LNC014142)". Lineage: Eukaryota; Viridiplantae; Streptophyta; Magnoliopsida; Lamiales; Oleaceae. The record is from RNAcentral.
UCUUAUUAGGGGCACUCCAAUGCCUUAGCCAGAGUCUUCCUUCCACGGCUACGGCUUAUCCAUCGGAAACUUCUCGUUAUAAAGCGGCAACUACAGAAUAGGAAACUGCAGCAAUUGGAUAGGUUUAUCGCUUAAGAGGAAGAAAUCCCAUUAGAAUCCCUCUAUUUAGGGCAACCCAGAGACAUAUCGUAACGUAAAAAGAAAGAAAGGAGCUUAGCCCUCUUCUUAUCCUAAACCCCCUAGAAUCACAAGGAACGCUUGAUGGUUG